GACUCGUCACACUAUCAUUAACUGAAUCCAUAGGUUAAUGAGGCGAACCGGGGGAACUGAAACAUCUAAGUACCCCGAGGAAAAGAAAUCAACCGAGAUUCCCCCAGUAGCGGCGAGCGAACGGGGAGGAGCCCAGAGCCUGAAUCAGCAUGUGUGUUAGUGGAAGCGUCUGGAAAGGCGCGCGAUACAGGGUGACAGCCCCGUACACAAAAGCGCAUGUGCUGUGAGCUCGAUGAGUAGGGCGGGACACGUGGUAUCCUGUCUGAAUAUGGGGGGACCAUCCUCCAAGGCUAAAUACUCCUGACUGACCGAUAGUGAACCAGUACCGUGAGGGAAAGGCGAAAAGAACCCCGGCGAGGGGAGUGAAAAAGAACCUGAAACCGUGUACGUACAAGCAGUGGGAGCCCCACCACUAAGCCAGUGGUGAACUCCACAUACGCAUCCUUUGCUGAGGAUACGGUUAACGGAGCGAAAGCGACGUUCAACCUCAAAAGAAGCAGAGGGGGCUUAGUGGUGGGGUGACUGCGUACCUUUUGUAUAAUGGGUCAGCGACUUAUAUUCUGUAGCAAGGUUAACCGAAUAGGGGAGCCGAAGGGAAACCGAGUCUUAACCGGGCGUUAAGUUGCAGGGUAUAGACCCGAAACCCGGUGAUCUAGCCAUGGGCAGGUUGAAGGUUGGGUAACACUAACUGGAGGACCGAACCGACUAAUGUUGAAAAAUUAGCGGAUGACCUGUGGCUGGGGGUGAAAGGCCAAUCAAACCGGGAGAUAGCUGGUUCUCCCCGAAAGCUAUUUAGGUAGCGCCUCGUGAAUUCAUCUCCGGGGGUAGAGCACUGUUUCGGCUAGGGGGCCAUCCCGGCUUACCAACCCGAUGCAAACUGCGAAUACCGGAGAAUGUUAUCACGGGAGACACACGGCGGGUGCUAACGUCCGUCGUGAAGAGGGAAACAACCCAGACCGCCAGCUAAGGUCCCAAAGUCAUGGUUAAGUGGGAAACGAUGUGGGAAGGCCCAGACAGCCAGGAUGUUGGCUUAGAAGCAGCCAUCAUUUAAAGAAAGCGUAAUAGCUCACUGGUCGAGUCGGCCUGCGCGGAAGAUGUAACGGGGCUAAACCAUG
RNAcentral lists this ribosomal RNA (1115 nucleotides) under Salmonella enterica subsp. enterica serovar Hvittingfoss. RNAcentral describes it as "partial 23S ribosomal RNA". It matches the Rfam family "Bacterial large subunit ribosomal RNA", at positions 137 to 1191 of the family's 2925-position model. The record is from RNAcentral. Lineage: Bacteria; Pseudomonadati; Pseudomonadota; Gammaproteobacteria; Enterobacterales; Enterobacteriaceae.